UUGCUCUAGGGAUGAACAAGUCCCUCACAUGGAACUCUCAAUCCAUCUGCUUCACUUUGUCAUAAGUUAUUUUUCACUCUCUUGCUGAUCAUUGGCCAAUGGAAUAUCC
Molecule: non-coding RNA, 109 nt
Organism: Punica granatum (pomegranate)
Lineage: Eukaryota; Viridiplantae; Streptophyta; Magnoliopsida; Myrtales; Lythraceae
Source: Rfam